Molecule: long non-coding RNA, 815 nt
Organism: Eubalaena glacialis (North Atlantic right whale)
Lineage: Eukaryota; Metazoa; Chordata; Mammalia; Artiodactyla; Balaenidae
Exons: 3
Source: RefSeq, a predicted model, not a curated record
CUGGCGGGGACGGCGAGGAGUCCGGCCCGAGACGCGGCCGAGGCUGCGGCCACGACUGGCCGGCAGCCCCAGGCGGAGAGCGGAGCCUAGCGGGCCCGGCCCGGCGGCGGGGACUUGCAGGCCCCCGAGACCCGGCCGAAGAGCCGACACCCAGCCCUGAGCCAAUCCCGCCUCGGCCCCGGAGGGACUCCCGGGCACCCUUCCCCGCGGCUCGCCGACUUCCCCCGUGACGAAGUUUUCUCCUGUGCCUUCCCGAGAAGGAUCGCUCUCUCGCUCUAGGACUCACCUUCUGGCGGACUUGCUUGGUUUGCUUUAGGAGCAUCUGUGGAGUGUACCUAUGUGCCAAGCACAGAGCUGUGCUUAGGAGGCAGUGGUGAACAAGUCAUUCAUGGCUCCCUGUCUACAUGAAUUCACAGCCUGGCAGAGAGUGAAGCCCUAAGCCCUGGCAAGUUUUGACAGUUCACUGGGAAGCCACAUCACCUUGCUGACUGCCACGCCGUGUAGCAUGCAGGAUCUUAGUUCCCCCGACCAGGGAUGGAACCCGUGUCCCCUGCAGUGGAAGCGCAGAGUCUUAACCACUGGACUGCCAGAGAAGUCCCUCAUUAAUUUUUUAUAUAUACAGAAAGAUAUUUAUUAUAUGGAACUGGCUCACAUGAUUUUGGAGACUGACAAGUACCAAGAUCUGCAGGUGAGUCAGCAAGCUGGAGACCCAGGAGGGCUGAUGGUGUAGUUCUAGUCUGAGUCUCAAGGUCUGAAAUCCAGGAGAACUGAUGUUUCAGUUAGUGUCCAAAGGCUGGCACAAAUUUUUAUAGAUA